This 404-nucleotide long non-coding RNA is filed under the name Mytilus galloprovincialis (Mediterranean mussel). The record is from RNAcentral. Lineage: Eukaryota; Metazoa; Mollusca; Bivalvia; Mytilida; Mytilidae.
GUCCCCGUGGUUCUUCUGUCCCUUUUUCCAAAGACAUUAUUUUCACAAAAAGGUGACAUCUUUUAAAUGAUUUCAAGGCAAAUAAUGAAGGUAAACACAAGUUUGAUAUGGUGCUCAAUUUUCUUUUUUCCACUUUUGCUUGCGUUUUGUCCGAUGAUUUAGCUUUUUGUCCGACACUUUUACUUUUUGUCCGUUGCUUUUAGUCCGUUUUGUUAAAUAUUUAGACUUUAGACACAAUUGGUUAGGUGUAUCUUUGGCAUGCAAUCAUACCACAUAUCUUUUUUUAAUAAUGUAUCGGUAAUCACAUACUCUUUCUACUCAUACAUAUACAUUUAGUUUCGCAUUUUAAUAGAUCUAGAUCUAGAUUUUCAUAACAUGGUCUACAUAUAUAUAACUUACAGCAU